Molecule: long non-coding RNA, 539 nt
Filed under: Cyanistes caeruleus (blue tit)
Lineage: Eukaryota; Metazoa; Chordata; Aves; Passeriformes; Paridae
Description: lncRNA (ENSCCEG00000014012.1)
Source: RNAcentral
CUCUGAGCCAUGCUGCCUGCCUUCUUCCCUGCUAUGGCAGCUAGCUCAAGAGACUCAAAGCCAAAUAUUCCGAAUUUCUGCAAGGUGCUUUAUUAAGAAUUCCUAAAGGAAAAACUAGUCUAAAAGUCCAAUUUCUGUUACCUAAAGGUUUUUGCCAGCAUGGGCUAUCGAGGGACAGGAAUAUGCAGCUCUUGGGUGCUAAAGCUCUGCCAAUGCAACCUUCCAGGCCAAUAUAUGGCCAGAAACACAUACCAACCACGAGCAGAAUACUCCUAAGAAGGCGCUGUCACAUCAGAACAGUGGAACAGCACUUGUUCACCCUGCAGAAAUGAAGACAGAUACAGAAAUAUGUCAUGUGAUGACAAAUGCAGUUUUAAGAAAUCUUCAUACUUCUUUCUUUAUAUUUGCUUCCUUCGUGCAAUCCUCCAUCCCCUCAGUCAGGGUGAUGCAACCAUAAACUGAACAAAGCUGUACUGAAGUGAUUUGAUUUGAAAACCAAACCAAAAAAUAAACCCAAAGUCUGGGUCUGGCUUGUAGCA